This is a non-coding RNA of Camellia sinensis, 2828 nucleotides long. The record is from RefSeq and is a predicted model, not a curated record. Lineage: Eukaryota; Viridiplantae; Streptophyta; Magnoliopsida; Ericales; Theaceae.
UUCCAUUCCCACUCGGGUUCUCCUACCCCAAACCCAAAAUCCCCAAUGUCAAAAAUCCCUAAUCCCUUCCCCCUUUUCCAUUCCCGCUGGUUUUUCCCCCCUCAACCAAAAAUCCCCAAAAAAAACCCUAAUAUGCACACAGCUCUCUCAUUCCUCUCAUUUCAUCUCAUCUCAUCAGUCUCUUUCUCACACUCAUUUUCAUCUGCACAGAUCGACUCCACACCGAUCAAACUCGCAAGAUCGACUCCUCACCGAUCGACCUCACUCUCUCAUUGCACCGAUCGAUCUCAUAGGUAAGCUUCUCUCUCUCUCUCUCUCAUCUCAUCAGUCUCUCUCUCACUUCAUCUCAAGAUACAUCGAAGAAGAAGAAGCUAGCACAGCAAUGGUACAGAAGAAGGGAGCAAGUAGGGUUUCUGAAGAUGCAGAAGAAGAGUUGGCUCGAGCACCCUUACAGGCCGUCCUCUUGGCCGAUAGCUUCGCCCAGAAGUUCCGCCCCAUCACCCUCGAACGCCCCCAAAGUACCAUUUGCAUUUGUGGACACCCCUAUGGUUGAUUAGAUUGACAUGUGGUACUAUUACCAUUGGUCAACAUCCCUAUGAUUGAUUACACCUUAGCAUGGCUUGAAUCAGCUGGUGUUGAAGAAGUUUUUGUCUUUUGCUGUGCUCAUUCCAGGCAAGUGAUUGAUUAUUUAAAUAAUUCCAAGUGGUUCGGUCAACCAAACUUUACGAUCAAGACAAUAGAAUCUCACAAUUCUGUUAGUGCUGGAGAUGCAUUGCGUUUGAUUUAUGAGCAGAAUGUGGUAUGUCAAGAUCUCUCCUCGUAGUUAUUCAUUUUCAUUUUUUAGUUCUUUUGGGGCAUUCCAUCAGUAGUUUUGGUUUAAAAAUUCUAUCAGAAAAGUGAACAUAGUUUCUUGUUUCUUUUUUAGGGGUUUUAAUGUUCUAGAUGUGACAUUACAAAUGUUACUUAUCAAAGGGGGGGGGGGGGAACCCUUUUUCCAAUUGAGACAGAGAAUUUGGUCUCUCUUCUCAAAAAUCAAAAUAAAAUUAAAAAAACCCUUUGUCCAAAUGUUACUUCUCAAAAGGAAUUUUUGAAGGCAAUCUUCUUGGAGUUUUACGGUGUGUUUGGUUUGGUUUUGGUAGAUAAAUUUUUAAAAAAGAUUUUGGGGAGAGUUUAGAAUUUUUUUUGAUUUGUUUGGUUGUAUAUUUUGGAAAUAGUUUUGGAGUAUGGGAGUUUGGGAUGAUUUGAUGUUUUGUUCUCAAAAGCAAACUAAACAAGGCCUUAAUGUUUGGAUUUUCUUUUUUCUCUUUUCUUUUUUUUAAAAAAUUGAAUAAUGAUUGCCAAGAGAAAAGGAAGUGAAAUAAUGAUCCUAUGUCGGAUAAUUGUAAUUGCCUGAGAGAUGGUAGAAAUAACUUUGCGGGAAUGCAUAUGUGUGGGAUGGCGUAAUUCUGAUGAAACAUCACUUGUUGGAAUUCGAAAAAUUCUCCUUCAGGUUUAUGACUUUGCACCCCCUUAAAUUGAGAAUAUGCUGGGACCUCGACAUUGUUAAUGGCUGAUGAAUGAGAUUGACAAAGAAGGUAAUGUCACCGUUUUGAUAUUUUAAUACAUUUGUGCCUUCAGUGAGGCCUUUUAUUUUGCUAGAUGUUGGGGGUCACAUGGUUGUAUACUUCCUUAGUCAAAGGAGUUUUCUUAUAUAGAGGAUGAUUUUGGAUGAAUUUUUUCUUUCGAUGCACUCUUUUUUUUCUUCCCGUGUUUUUCUUAUGGUCAAUUUGUAUAGCCUUCAUGAAGUAGAAAAACUAUAAAUAUUUAGGUGUUGUCUUUUUUGUUGGAUUUUCUUAUUGAAGUCUUUGCCUAGAGUCCUAUAUAUUUGUUUCUUCAAAAUGAAUCUGUAGUUUUGUGAUGAUUUUGGAUGUGAUACACUGAUUAAGGCAGCUUUCUUACAUAAGAGUGUUUGUCUCUUGUAAACAUCCUCUUCUUCUUCAUUUUUGUUUAUUUAUUUAACAUGUUAUUUAACAUGUUUAUUCUUGUAGACAUCCUCUUCUUCUUAACAUGCAUAAGACAGCUUUAUUCUUGAAAAUAUGUUGACAGAUCAAAAAAAAAAAAAUCUGACCAGCUACUGUAAUUCGUUUUCCAAUUUAAUAUGAGGUGACCUGUCACUCAUAAUCAUCGAUUGUCUUCUCCCUUCAAUUUUUUGAUGCCAAGUAAUUUGAUUAAUUUAAAAAAGGCCUAAUCAUUAUGAACUUUUUGUUUUCUGAACAAGAUAAUAUGCAUGUGUGAACCAAAAGAUCUUUACUUGAUUUUUAGAAUACGAGUGUUGAAACUGUUGGCAAGUUACACCAGUUUUUUCAAUUUCUGGUUGAUGUGAUUUUCUCUGUGAGUAUGCAGCCGAAGGACUGGUUUUUCGUAAUAGUGUUUACUGGAUACGUUUUGAUGAAGAAUUUUCUGAGAAGAAAUUUAAAUCUUCAAGCCCCUUUGGUAUAAAGUACAAGUUCCACCUUGAGACUUGAUGUUGGUUUUUCCGGGAAAAGCACUGCUGUUGUUUCUACUGGCUGUUCAUCUAAAAGGUUUUUGUCUUCCUUCUUUAGAGGAUGGGUCAUGGGCGUUAUAUCUCAGUUAGAGGAUGGCCAUUUCUACUUGGAAGACGUCACUGGAGCAGUUGAAAUCAAUUUGUCUAAUGCAAUAUCCUCUACAUGUUUAUAUUUUUCCCUUUCGAAAGACUUAUUGUUUGUUUUGAAUGCUUGGAUUUGGGCUGCCCUAUAAUCUCCAAAAGCGAAAGUUCUCAUUGUAGGCCUUUUUAAAUAAUGGAAAAUAAUGGUGAAUUUUAGAUUUUA